This is a long non-coding RNA of Plutella xylostella (diamondback moth), 1454 nucleotides long. RefSeq lists it as uncharacterized. Lineage: Eukaryota; Metazoa; Arthropoda; Insecta; Lepidoptera; Plutellidae. The record is from RefSeq and is a predicted model, not a curated record.
UCCGCUGUCAGAAUAGUUUGUGUGUUGGGCACAAUGAUGGAACAAAAUUAUUAGUGCAAUUUUAAUAGAAAUAGUUUAUAAAUAUGGAGUACAGAGUCAAAUAACACGGUAUGUCCCCCGCCCCCCGCCCGCCAUGCCACGAUGACCCCGCGCGCCCGCAGCGCCGCCCUGCUCUCCCUGCUGCUGCUCGUCAUCAUCUGCUGCUACGGGUACAAGAGGAAGUACCUCGUCUGUAAGAGCCCGGAGCCGUGCAAGCCCCCGCAGUUCCUCCGCCUGGAGGACGAGCGCCUCACGCGCCAGCUCCUCGACAACUACAAGCCGCCGCCGCUGCCCAAGAUCUACUUCUGACCAACCAGAGCAGAGCUGAUAUACAGUGAAGACUGAAUGGAACUGGACAGAGAGUUGGUUCAGGAAGUGAUCGUUUUUUUGGUGACUUGGCUCAUCUCUUACUUGGAAUCUCGAUUUGAAUCACCACUACUAGCUUAAAUUACUAUCUUCAGUAAAAGGUGACGAUGCCUGUUAGUGAAUUUGUCCUGGUAUUGUUCCACAUCGUGCUAACAAUAUACGAGAUCACUUUAAACCGCAAGAAGUCUUUCAUCAAACCUAAAGAGUCCACAAGAGGACACAAGAUCCCGCUUGUUGUGUCGGAACCACAGGAACUAAACCGGAGCUCGCUGAAUGUGAAAGAGACGUCUAACGUUGGUGGAGAGACUAUCGUUUGUGAACCUAAGAGUUGCGGUGUUUGGAUCGCUUGAGUAUAAUCCCCCUCUAUGGACUACACCCGUCUGCUGCUGGUGCUGCUGGUCUGUCCGCUGCUGCUGCUGCUGUGUCUGCCGCGCAACGACCAGCUGGUGCAACUGCGCUGCGUGCGCUGCCCCCCCGCGCCCCGCCACUUCUCCGCCGUCUACCUCAACCCCGACGCCGAGCCGAACUGCCACCACCAACCUAGACCCAAGGGGUUUUGAUAACAACCAUACUGGAGUCACACAGACAACGUCUGUCGCUCAAGCGCUGCUUGCGCCUGCUUCUAACAAUACUUGCAGUGUCACUGGUGUACUGCUGUGGUGGUCUCCAACGCCACCAGGAUCUGGGAGCCACGCCAAGGUUCCCCUGCUCUGUGCCUCUGGAGGGGCAGCCGAAGUACAUGAAGAAUAGGCCGAAGCCGCCCAAACCGCCGACUGCUGAAGACGAUUACACGUAGAUUGUGAAGAGAAUUGGUUCAUGAUAUUCUGGACUUUGCUUGAGAGUGGAGUUUCUUGGUGGUGCUGUAGAUGAUGAAGGUGGAUGUAAGGAUGAUACUGGUGCUGCUGGUGUACCUGCUGAUCGCGUGCUGCGGCGGCGGCGGCAAGAAGAAGCCGAAAGAGCGCGUGGUGUGCUACCGACCCAGGACCUGCCCGGACUAACUAUAUGCAUAGCUGAUUAUGAAUAUGAAUACAAGAUUUUUGUAAAGUUUU